GAUGAAGAACGCAGCGAAAUGCGAUAAGUAAUUUGAAUUGCAGAAUUCAGUGAAUCAUCGAAUCUUUGAACGCACAUUGCGCCCGCCAGUAUUCUGGCGGGCAUGCCUGUUCGAGCGUCAUUUCAACCAUCAAGCCCCCGGCUUGUGUUGGGGACCUGCGGCUGCCGCAGGCCCUGAAAACCAGUGGCGGGCUCGCUAGUCACUCCGAGCGUAGUAAUACAUCUCGCUCAGGGCGUGCUGCGGGUUCCGGCCGUUAAAAAGCCUUAUUUACCCAAGGUUGACCUCGGAUCAGGUAGGAAGACCCGCUGAACUUAAGCAUAUCAAUAAGCGGAGGA
RNAcentral lists this unclassified non-coding RNA (335 nucleotides) under soil metagenome. RNAcentral's name for it is "partial contains 5.8S ribosomal RNA, internal transcribed spacer 2, and large subunit ribosomal RNA". The stretch from base 1 to 120 matches the Rfam family "5.8S ribosomal RNA", at positions 35 to 154 of the family's 154-position model. The record is from RNAcentral.